UACGAAGGGGGCUAGCGUUGUUCGGAAUUACUGGGCGUAAAGCGCGUGUAGGCGGGUCUUUAAGUCAGGGGUGAAAUGCCAAGGCUCAACCUUGGAACUGCCUUUGAUACUGGAGACCUUGAGUCCGGGAGAGGUGAGUGGAAUUGCGAGUGUAGAGGUGAAAUUCGUAGAUAUUCGCAAGAACACCAGUGGCGAAGGCGGCUCACUGGCCCGAUACUGACGCUGAUGCACGAAAGCGUGGGGAGCAAACAGG
Molecule: ribosomal RNA, 253 nt
Filed under: uncultured bacterium
Lineage: Bacteria
Description: partial 16S ribosomal RNA
Rfam family: Bacterial small subunit ribosomal RNA
Source: RNAcentral